CAUCCAGACUCCUACGGGAGGCAGCAGUGGGGAAUAUUGGGCAAUGGGCGCAAGCCUGACCCAGCAACGCCGCGUGAAGGAAGAAGGCUUUCGGGUUGUAAACUUCUUUUGUCAGGGACGAAGCAAGUGACGGUACCUGACGAAUAAGCCACGGCUAACUACGUGCCAGCAGCCGCGGUAAUACGUAGGUGGCAAGCGUUAUCCGGAUUUAUUGGGUGUAAAGGGCGUGUAGGCGGGAAUGCAAGUCAGAUGUGAAAACUAUGGGCUCAACCCAUAGCCUGCAUUUGAAACUGUGUUUCUUGAGUGCUGGAGAGGCAAUCGGAAUUCCGUGUGUAGCGGUGAAAUGCGUAGAUAUACGGAGGAACACCAGUGGCGAAGGCGGAUUGCUGGACAGUAACUGACGCUGAGGCGCGAAAGCGUGGGGAGCAAACAGGAUUAGAUACCCCAGUAA
Molecule: ribosomal RNA, 451 nt
Filed under: uncultured bacterium
Lineage: Bacteria
Description: bacterial SSU rRNA
Rfam family: Bacterial small subunit ribosomal RNA
Source: RNAcentral